This 2152-nucleotide unclassified non-coding RNA is filed under the name Leishmania donovani. Its description in RNAcentral is "gene:LdHU3.02.0360(CDS-product:NIMA/Nek_Serine/th reonine-protein_kinase_family_putative)". The record is from RNAcentral. Lineage: Eukaryota; Euglenozoa; Kinetoplastea; Trypanosomatida; Trypanosomatidae.
GAAGAUCGCUGUGGCAGCCUCCUCUUUACGCAGCCCUUACAGCACCCAGCAGGCUGCUGAAGAGCAUUGGAACGCUUCGAAACGUGGACCGUAGCCAGCGCGCACCGUCGCUUGGCUGACCCCUCUGUCGAGGGAGACGACACAGAACCCAGACGGAAAGGAAAAAAAAAGCAAGCCAAGGGAGUAGAGCAGCAGACGUGCGCUCGCCAUCAGCAUUGCCGCCAUCUCGAGCGAAUUGCCUCUCCACCAUUAUUCGCGGCUCUCCGCGUGCCCCCGGCUAGCAGCAGCAGCAGCAGCAGCAGCAGCAGCAGCAGUGUGUGUCUGCGUGCGUGCGUGCGUGUGUCUCUUUUCUUCCGCUGACGCACCUCAACAUGGAGGAGCGCUUCGAUUGGAUGACGUUCGGCGACGACGUCUCCGGCGCGCAAGCGGGCAGCGCUGCGCCGCCCUCCACCGGCGCCGACGAGGACGUGCCCAUCUUCCUGCGGGAGGAUGUUGGAAUGGUCCGGGCGGGCGCCUCGCAUGCAACGGCGGCGUCAGAAAGCACGGGUGUCGACUCAGAGAACGGAGCGCCGGCUUUUCUUGCUGUGUGCCCAGGGGCUGAUGUGGCGCCCCGCUUGAGUGGCGGCUGGUCAUCGGAGGGUUCGCCGGUGUGGGAUGGCUCUCUCCGGCAACAGCAAAAGCCGUCAUCGACUGCAGCGUUGGGCCACCCGGGGGGCGCUGGCGACGUGCAGGCAGCACCGUCGGCGGCGCUUUACGCUGACCAGCCCUCCGCUGCUGUCCUGCACUUCACAGGGGACAGCGGGCGCUCCUGGGGUGCGCUGCAUCGCGUUCGCAUCCUCGGCAAAGGCAGCUACGGCUGCGCCACCCUGUACUCCAUGAAGGACGCGGCCUCCGGCGGGGUCGAACCAACGCACGCGGUCGUGGUGAAGGAUAUCAACAUGCAGACCAUGCUGAACCCAGCCGAGGAGGUGCUGGCUGUGCAGAACGAGCUGAAGGUGCUUCGCACCGUGCUGGGGCACCCGAACCUGGUGCAGUACGUCGAUGCCCUAUUUGACACGCGACCGCCCACCUACCCGAUGUCGUUCAUCAUGAUGGAGUACUGCGCUGGUGGUGACCUUGCGGCGGUGAUGGACGGUCGCCGCUCAGACAGCGCCACCACGAACGGGGCGCCAUCCUCACCACCAUCCAUCCCCUUGGCCAUCACCACCGCAUCCACGGCGGCCGGGCCUGACAUACUUACCGAGCCGUGCGUUGCGUCACUCUUUAUUCAGGUCGCGGUGGCGCUGCAGUCGCUUCACACCGAGUAUGGCAUCUUGCACCGAGACGUGAAGCCGCACAAUAUCUUUUUACUGGAGGACGGCAUCACGGUCCGCCUCGGCGACUUUGGCAUCUCCACGCAGCUCGACCGCGUCGGCGAUACGGCGAAGGAGGCGUGCGGGUCGCCGUACUACAUGGCACCGGAGCUGUUCGAGGAGCGGGCCUACGGUGCGGCCGCCGAUGUUUGGUCCCUCGGCGUUGUUUUCUACCAACUCAUCGCGCGACAGCUGCCCUUCACGGCCGCCUCAGCGGCGGAGCUCCGUUCGCUUGUGUGCCGCGGCCGCUGCACACCCCUCCACGAUCUCCAAAACGAGGCUGCGUCACGCUACUCGCGACAGUUCAAGGAACUCGUGAGCUCGUUGCUGACGGUGGACGCGGCGGCGCGGCCGACGCUGCGUCGUGUGCUGCGUCACAAAUAUGUGCGAGAGUCUCUCAAGUAUGUCCCCGCGAGUGUGUUGACGGCGAAGAAGCCACUGCCGCCUGCACGGGUGCCCUCCGCAGGUGCAAUGCCCUCAUCGUCGUUGCAGAGGUUCAGCGCAGACGGGCUGUAUGCCGGCUUGUUUGGCAGUGAUGUGGUGGAGCAGGCGGUGUCGCAGGCCGUACACGCUGGUGUGUACCCCAUUGUGAGCCGUGUCCAUUCGGCAUAGCACAAGGGCGUGGAUGGAUGAGGAGGUGGCGUGCAGGGGGGCCGUGCAUUUUCGCGGCGGAAGACGAUCCAGGCGAUGCAUCGAAGGGUGGUGCGCCUGUGCGCAUGUAGACGUUCAGUACAGUUGCCGUGGGGACAGCGCGCCCCCCCUCCCUCUCCCUCUCUCCAUCUCUUCUCUGUGUGAGUUUG